Molecule: ribosomal RNA, 402 nt
Filed under: Verrucomicrobiota bacterium
Lineage: Bacteria; Pseudomonadati; Verrucomicrobiota
Description: Verrucomicrobia bacterium partial 16S ribosomal RNA
Rfam family: Bacterial small subunit ribosomal RNA
Source: RNAcentral
UGGGGAAUUUUGCACAAUGGGGGAAACCCUGAUGCAGCGACGCCGCGUGAUUUAGAAGGCCUUCGGGUUGUAAAAAUCUUUUGUAUGGGAAGAAAAUGACAGUACCAUACGAAUAAGGACCGGCUAAUUACGUGCCAGCAGCCGCGGUAAUACGUAAGGUCCGAGCGUUGUCCGGAAUCAUUGGGCAUAAAGGGUACGUAGGCGGAUAAGCAAGUUAGAAGUGAAAUCCUAUAGCUCAACUAUAGUAAGCUUUUAAAACUGCUCAUCUUGAGGUAUGGAAGGGAAAGUGGAAUUCCUAGUGUAGCGGUGAAAUGCGCAGAUAUUAGGAGGAAUACCGGUGGCGAAGGCGACUUUCUGGCCAUAUACUGACGCUGAGGUACGAAAGCGUGGGUAGCAAACAGG